AUGUGUCGUCCUCAUCGAGUGGUGAUGAGUGGGGGCGGACACCGUGGCGCCGACCUCCGGGGGUGGGCGGCGUCGUGGCGUGCUCCGUGUCGUCGUCUUGGUCGAACCGUCGUGACGAGGUGGACAGCAGGUGGUGAUGACGACCUCCUCGUCGUUCUUUGUGACGCUGGCUUGGUGAAGACCACCCCCGGCAACGUUGACUUCAUCUUCCGGUCCGGCGGCUCCAUCUCCGGCGACGGUCCAAUCAUGCGAACGUUGCCUUCGGCAACGCUCCCGACUUGUGUGCGUGCAUACUAUAUGCCAAGAAAGAACUAG
RNAcentral lists this ribosomal RNA (315 nucleotides) under Triticum aestivum (bread wheat). RNAcentral describes it as "partial small subunit ribosomal RNA". Lineage: Eukaryota; Viridiplantae; Streptophyta; Magnoliopsida; Poales; Poaceae. The record is from RNAcentral.